RNAcentral lists this transfer RNA (76 nucleotides) under Chitinophagaceae bacterium. RNAcentral's name for it is "tRNA-OTHER". It matches the Rfam family "tRNA". From Rfam's summary of the family: Transfer RNA (tRNA) molecules are approximately 80 nucleotides in length. Their secondary structure includes four short double-helical elements and three loops (D, anti-codon, and T loops). The record is from RNAcentral. Lineage: Bacteria; Pseudomonadati; Bacteroidota; Chitinophagia; Chitinophagales; Chitinophagaceae.
GGGGAUGUAGCUCAGCCGGUAGAGCACCGGGGUCAAAAGCCCCGGUAGACGCGCGGUUCAAAGCCCGCCAUCCCCA